This 233-nucleotide unclassified non-coding RNA is filed under the name plant metagenome. RNAcentral describes it as "partial contains small subunit ribosomal RNA, internal transcribed spacer 1, and 5.8S ribosomal RNA". The record is from RNAcentral.
UUUCCGUAGGUGAACCUGCGGAAGGAUCAUUACUGAGUGAGGGCCCUCUGGGUCCAACCUCCCACCCGUGUUUAUUAUACCUUGUCGCUUCGGUGAGCCCGCCUCACGGCCGCCGGGGGGCAUCUGCCCCCGGGCCCGCGCACACCGAAGACACCUAGAACUCUGUAUGAAGAUUGCAGUCUGAGCAAAAACUAAAUAAGUUAAAACUUUCAACAACGGAUCUCUUGGUUCCG